RNAcentral lists this microRNA precursor (60 nucleotides) under Magallana gigas (Pacific oyster). Its description in RNAcentral is "Mgi-Mir-92-o33_pre stem-loop". The record is from RNAcentral. Lineage: Eukaryota; Metazoa; Mollusca; Bivalvia; Ostreida; Ostreidae.
GGGCUGGAGCGGCUGCAAAGCAGUGAUGGUGGUUUCUGUAUUGCACUCGUCCCGGCCGAU